GCGCGUAAAUUACCCACUCCUAAUUCAGGGAGGUAGUGACAAGAAAUAACAACUCGGGCCCCACUUGGGGUUGCGAGAUUGCAAUGAGAACAAUUUAAACCACUUAUCGAGUAACAAUUGGAGGGCAAGUCUGGUGC
This 137-nucleotide ribosomal RNA is filed under the name uncultured eukaryote. RNAcentral's name for it is "partial 18S ribosomal RNA". It matches the Rfam family "Eukaryotic small subunit ribosomal RNA", at positions 432 to 567 of the family's 1831-position model. The record is from RNAcentral.